GAUGAACGCUAGCGGGAGGCUUAAUACAUGCAAGUCGCACGGCAGCAUGACACUUCGGUGUUGAUGGCGAGUGGCGCACGGGUGAGUAACGCGUACACAACCUACUUAUAACAGGGGGAUAGCCACUGGAAACGGUGAAUAAUACCCCAUAGUAUUACCUUUUUGAUAAAUAGGUAAUUAAAGUUCCGGCGGUUAUAGAUGGGUGUGCGUCCGAUUAGCUAGUUGGUAAGGUAACGGCUUACCAAGGCGACGAUUGGUAGGGGGCGUGAGAGCGUGACCCCCCACACGGGUACUGAGACACGGACCCG
RNAcentral lists this ribosomal RNA (308 nucleotides) under uncultured bacterium. RNAcentral's name for it is "bacterial SSU rRNA". It matches the Rfam family "Bacterial small subunit ribosomal RNA", at positions 28 to 334 of the family's 1533-position model. The record is from RNAcentral.